CGAGCACGCGCGUGUGGCAUAUCAAUAAGCGGAGGAAAAGAAACUAACAAGGAUUCCCUUAGUAACGGCGAGUGAAGCGGGAAGAGCUCAAAUUUGAAAUCUUCAAGGUUCUACCUUGACGAAUUGUAGUUUAUAGAAGUGUUUUCUGUUAGUGGAGUGGCAAAAGUUCUUUGGAAUAGGACAUCAUAGAGGGUGAGAAUCCCGUAUUUGGUCAUUCCUCCUAGCGUUGUGAUACACUUUCAACGAGUCGGAUUGUUUGGGAAUGCAGUCCAAAAUGGGUGGUAAAUUUCAUCUAAAGCUGAAUAUUGGCGAGAGACCGAUAGCGAACAAGUACCGUGAGGGAAAGAUGAAAAGAACUUUGAAAAGAGAGUUAAACAGUACGUGAAAUUGUCAAAAGGGAAGCGUUUGACACCAGUGUUGUUUUUCCGAAAAUCAAUUACGAAUGUUUUAGUUUUUGAGGAGUUAUGACUUCAUCGACUUGCUCCUUUCUUUAUGAAACUUUCUUAAUGCACUUUUCGGUUAACAAGUCAACAUCAAUUUCUUUUGUUGUAAAAGGGUAUGAGGAAGGUGGCUUUCUUUUCGGAGAAAGUGUUUAUAGCCUUGUGCCUCUGCAAGUCGGAGAGAUUGAGGUCUGCAGCGUAGAUCCUUCGGGGUUAGAUAUGUUUGUGCUAAGUUAUAGCUUUUCAUAGACAACUUGUUGACUAUGUUUAGUCUUGUAGCCUACUCGCAUGACGCUAUUUUACCUACGCUUAGGAUGUUGAGUAGCGACAUACGCAC
Molecule: ribosomal RNA, 777 nt
Filed under: uncultured Neocallimastigales
Lineage: Eukaryota; Fungi; Neocallimastigomycota; Neocallimastigomycetes; Neocallimastigales
Description: partial large subunit ribosomal RNA
Rfam family: Eukaryotic large subunit ribosomal RNA
Source: RNAcentral